AACCAACUCCAUAUUUUUACGGUUACAGAACAACGCUACAUCCAAUCUAGCCUUGAUGUUGUCCUUUGUCUUCCCCUUCACAUCCAUGACGGUGUUGAAAAUGUUCUCAAACACGUUCUUUUCAAUGUGCAUGACAUCAAGGUUAUGGCGGAGAAGAUUGGUCUUCCAAUAAGGAAGCUCCCAAAAUAUACUUCGCUUCACCCAAUUAUGGUUCAAACCAAAACCA
RNAcentral lists this long non-coding RNA (226 nucleotides) under Populus trichocarpa (black cottonwood). RNAcentral's name for it is "long non-coding RNA (PTRI_LNC004506)". The record is from RNAcentral. Lineage: Eukaryota; Viridiplantae; Streptophyta; Magnoliopsida; Malpighiales; Salicaceae.